CCUACGGGUGGCAGCAGUGGGGGAUAUUGCACAAUGGGGGAAACCCUGAUGCAGCGACGCCGCGUGUGGGAAGACGGUCCUCUGGAUUGUAAACCACUGUCCCCAGGGACGAAGAUGACGGUACCUGGGGAGGAAGCUCCGGCUAACUACGUGCCAGCAGCCGCGGUAAUACGUAGGGAGCGAGCGUUGUCCGGAAUUACUGGGGGAAAAGGGAGCGUAGGCGGGACUGCAAGUUGGGUGUCAAAUCUACCGGCUCAACCGGUAGCCGCACUCAACACUGCAGUUCUUGAGUGAAGUAGAGGCAGGCGGAAUUCCUAGUGUAGCGGGGAAAUGCGUAGAUAGUAGGAGGAACACCAGUGGCGAAGGCGGCCUGCUGGGCUUUUACUGACGCUGAGGCUCGAAAGUGUGGGGAGCAAACAGGAUUAGAUACCCCUGUAGUC
This 440-nucleotide ribosomal RNA is filed under the name uncultured bacterium. Its description in RNAcentral is "partial 16S ribosomal RNA". It matches the Rfam family "Bacterial small subunit ribosomal RNA", at positions 338 to 795 of the family's 1533-position model. The record is from RNAcentral.